AUUGAACGCUGGCGGAAUGCUUCACACAUGCAAGUCGAACGGUAGAGGGGGCAACCCCUCGAGAGUGGCGAACGGGUGAGUAAUAUAUCGGAACGUGCCCAGUCGUGGGGGAUAACGUAGCGAAAGUUACGCUAAUACCGCAUACGAUCUAAGGAUGAAAGCGGGGGAUCGCGAGACCUCGCGCGAUUGGAGCGGCCGAUAUCAGAUUAGGUAGUUGGUGGGGUAAAGGCUCACCAAGCCAACGAUCUGUAGCUGGUCUGAGAGGACGACCAGCCACACUGGAACUGAGACACGGUCCAGACUCCUACGGGAGGCAGCAGUGGGGAAUUUUGGACAAUGGACGCAAGUCUGAUCCAGCCAUUCCGCGUGCAGGAUGAAGGCCCUCGGGUUGUAAACUGCUUUUGUACGGAACGAAAAGGUCUCUCUUAAUACGGGGGGCUCAUGACGGUACCGUAAGAAUAAGCACCGGCUAACUACGUGCCAGCAGCCGCGGUAA
RNAcentral lists this ribosomal RNA (496 nucleotides) under uncultured bacterium. RNAcentral's name for it is "partial 16S ribosomal RNA". It matches the Rfam family "Bacterial small subunit ribosomal RNA", at positions 30 to 523 of the family's 1533-position model. The record is from RNAcentral.